RNAcentral lists this ribosomal RNA (397 nucleotides) under uncultured eukaryote. RNAcentral's name for it is "partial small subunit ribosomal RNA". It matches the Rfam family "Eukaryotic small subunit ribosomal RNA", at positions 30 to 432 of the family's 1831-position model. The record is from RNAcentral.
GCUUGUCUCAAAGAUUAAGCCAUGCAUGUCUAAGUAUAAGCACCCUUAUACUGCGAAACUGCGUACAGCUCAUUAUAUCAGCAAUUAUUUAUUUGAAGGUCACCUAUUACAUGGAUAACCGUGGUAAUUCUAGAGCUAAUACAUGCGAAAAGUCGGCGCAAGUCGAUGUAUUUAUUAGAUACAGAAUCAAUACGUGUUCUGCACGUUCUAUUGAUGAAUCAUAAUAACUGUUCGAAUCGCACGGGCAACCGGCGAUAGUUCAUUCAAAUUUCUGCCCUAUCAGCUUUCGAUGGUAGGAUCUUGGCCUACCAUGGCUAUAACGGGUAACGGGGAAUUAGGGUUCGGUUCCGGAGAGGGAGCUUGAGAAAUGGCUACCACAUCUAAGGAAGGCAGCAGG